UACGUAGGGUGCGAGCGUUGUCCGGAAUUAUUGGGCGUAAAGGGCUCGUAGGCGGUUUGUCGCGUCGGGAGUGAAAACACUGGGCUUAACUCAGUGCUUGCUUCCGAUACGGGCAGACUAGAGGUAUUCAGGGGAGAACGGAAUUCCUGGUGUAGCGGUGAAAUGCGCAGAUAUCAGGAAGAACACCCGUGGCGAAGGCGGUUCUCUGGGACGGUACUGACGCUGAGACGCGAAAGCGUGGGGAGCGAACAGG
Molecule: ribosomal RNA, 253 nt
Filed under: uncultured bacterium
Lineage: Bacteria
Description: partial 16S ribosomal RNA
Rfam family: Bacterial small subunit ribosomal RNA
Source: RNAcentral